CGAGCUGGGUUUGGGGUUCAUGACUGAGUUGAAGAGGGCUUCGAGGUCGGUGUCUAGGUCCUGCGUGACGUGGAUCACUUGCUGGCCGGGUGGCGGGAGCGGAGGCGCCGAGGCCGGAUUCAUCUUCUGCAAGGAGAAAGCAUUGUCCAGACUGAAGUGAGGCCACCUUUCCUGUCUGGUCAAGGAAGGUCAAGUUCAUUGUUUGGAGCCAAGGAGAAGAGGAGAGGACCAGUCAAACCAAGACAGGCUGGAGAGAGGACCCAGGACUCAAAUUCUGCUCCAAAAGGAGCUGACCCUACAGGCAUAAAUUCAAAUCAGACAUGCUUAAAACAAUUUUAAAAUUCCCUUUAAAAAUAUAUAUUUGCAGAUAAUCUCAGAUAAGAGGGUAAAUUUGUUUUCAAGUAGUGUCUGCCACACAAUAAACCCUGAUUUGACCAAAUGGAUAUAGAUAUUUCCACUUAGUCAUAAUUAAAAGUUGUUAGUAUUUCAAUUAUCACAAUAAUACUAAAUAAUGUUUAUAUUUUACAGAUUACAAAAGAGUUUCACAGGAACAAUCACACAUGAGUCUCACAGUAAAUCAGACAAGACUUACUAGAACUUCUAUUUUCUAGAUAAGAAAAGAAAGGUUCAGAAAAAUGUGUGCCUUGCCAAAGGCCAUCAGCAUGUAACCAGAGAGCCAGAACUCACACCAUGCAGUGCCUGUAGGAUUUCAAAUUAUAUUUCUCUUAUUACUUCUUAAUUGAAUCAGUUUUAAUUGCCUCCUUUGUAAGCAUACAAAAUUAUGUUUGUUCCUCAAAAUAAAAUUUGAAUAAAGCUAAAGGAUACUUUAAAAGUUA
Molecule: long non-coding RNA, 836 nt
Organism: Manis pentadactyla (Chinese pangolin)
Lineage: Eukaryota; Metazoa; Chordata; Mammalia; Pholidota; Manidae
Exons: 2
Source: RefSeq, a predicted model, not a curated record